This 71-nucleotide transfer RNA is filed under the name Marmota monax (woodchuck). RNAcentral's name for it is "tRNA.Ala". Lineage: Eukaryota; Metazoa; Chordata; Mammalia; Rodentia; Sciuridae. The record is from RNAcentral.
GUGGGCGUAGUUCAGUGUUAGAAUGCUUGUCCAGCAUGUGCGAGGCCCUGGGUUCUGUCCCCAGCGCCACA